Molecule: ribosomal RNA, 498 nt
Filed under: uncultured bacterium
Lineage: Bacteria
Description: partial 16S ribosomal RNA
Rfam family: Bacterial small subunit ribosomal RNA
Source: RNAcentral
AUUGAACGCUGGCGGCAUGCCUUACACAUGCAAGUCGAACGGUAACAGGUCUUCGGAUGCUGACGAGUGGCGAACGGGUGAGUAAUACAUCGGAACGUGCCUAGUAGUGGGGGAUAACUACUCGAAAGAGUGGCUAACACCGCAUGAGAUCUACGGAUGAAAGCAGGGGAUCGCAAGACCUUGUGCUACUAGAGCGGCCGAUGGCAGAUUAGGCAGUUGGUGGGAUAAAAGCUUACCAAGCCGACGAUCUGUAGCUGGUCUGAGAGGACGAUCAGCCACACUGGGACUGAGACACGGCCCAGACUCCUACGGGAGGCAGCAGUGGGGAAUUUUGGACAAUGGGCGAAAGCCUGAUCCAGCAGUGCCGCGUGCAGGAUGAAGGCCUUCGGGUUGUAAACUGCUUUUGUACGGAACGAAAAGCCCUGGGUUAAUACCCUGGGGUCAUGACGGUACCGUAAGAAUAAGCACCGGCUAACUACGUGCCAGCCGCCGCGGUAA